This 253-nucleotide ribosomal RNA is filed under the name uncultured bacterium. RNAcentral's name for it is "partial 16S ribosomal RNA". It matches the Rfam family "Bacterial small subunit ribosomal RNA", at positions 524 to 776 of the family's 1533-position model. The record is from RNAcentral.
UACGUAGGUGGCAAGCGUUGUCCGGAUUUACUGGGCGUAAAGAGCGCGCAGGCGGUCGGAUAAGUCGAAUGUGAAAGCCCCCGGCUCAACUGGGGAGGGUCAUUCGAUACUGUUCGACUCGAAGGCAGGAGAGGGAAGUGGAAUUCCCGGUGUAGUGGUGAAAUGCGUAGAGAUCGGAAAGAACACCAACGGCGAAAGCACUCUGCUGGGCCGACACUGACACUGAGAGACGAAAGCUAGGGGAGCGAAUGGG